AAUCAACGCUGGCGGCGUGCCUAACACAUGCAAGUCGAACGCGAAAGCCCCUUCGGGGGUAAGUAGAGUGGCGUCCGGGUGAGUAACACGUAGGUAGUCUACCUUCGGGUGGGGAAUAACUCGCCGAAAGGCGAGCUAAUACCGCAUAAUGCAGCGGCACCUAAUGGUGAUUAGUUGUUAAAGCGGGGGAUCGUAAGACCUCGCGCCUGAAGAGGAGCCUGCGGCAGAUUAGCUAGUUGGGA
RNAcentral lists this ribosomal RNA (242 nucleotides) under uncultured bacterium. RNAcentral's name for it is "partial 16S ribosomal RNA". It matches the Rfam family "Bacterial small subunit ribosomal RNA", at positions 32 to 254 of the family's 1533-position model. The record is from RNAcentral.